Molecule: long non-coding RNA, 431 nt
Organism: Etheostoma cragini (Arkansas darter)
Lineage: Eukaryota; Metazoa; Chordata; Actinopteri; Perciformes; Percidae
Exons: 3
Source: RefSeq, a predicted model, not a curated record
UUUCUAUGAGGAAAACAAUCCAACUCAGAUUCUCAGCUCCCAAACAGACAAUGCAGAACACACAACAGCAGUCCAGAACUCAACAAGCCUUUUUCAAAUCAAAGCACAGAAUGGUUGUCCAGCACAACAAACAAAAACAAAAAGUCUAAAUGUAUUAUGGCAACACGGAUUCAAACCCACUCCUCAUACCACAUAGUACGAGUGCAGGUACAGCAGGGCGCUGACCAAACAGCCAAAUGUCUCUGGAGGACUGUCGGUUGUCAGAGGACAGCGACUACGAGGCUGAAAAGAACUUGAGUGACGGCGAAAACGACGACGACGUUGAGUGGAACUACCUGGAGCUCGUCCAGCUGCACAACAACCUGAAAUGCUUUGAACAAAUCUACUACAACAAUGCACUGGUGGACCAGCAGAACACUGAGAGAGAGAGA